UGAGUGGCUCUAGGCUGGCGGGUCAGCCCUCCGCUGUUCGCAAACGGGCUUUAUGGCGAGCUGCAACAGAGUGAGUGAGGUAGAGACGUGAGAGUCCUGCUCCUACGUUGAGGCUUUGUCCUGCUCGACCUUGCUGUAAGGUAACUGGGUCAGUCUCGGAAGAGAGCAGCCCUAACUUGUAGUCUAGGUGCUUGUAGGGUUGCAGAGCUGAGGAAGAGUUAGGAUUAACUUUCAUUGCCUCUAUUAAGCAAGCUCUGGAGAGCUGCUCA
RNAcentral lists this signal recognition particle RNA (269 nucleotides) under archaeon. RNAcentral's name for it is "signal recognition particle sRNA". It matches the Rfam family "Archaeal signal recognition particle RNA". The record is from RNAcentral.